Molecule: non-coding RNA, 253 nt
Organism: Paramisgurnus dabryanus
Lineage: Eukaryota; Metazoa; Chordata; Actinopteri; Cypriniformes; Cobitidae
Source: RefSeq, a predicted model, not a curated record
UAUGGCGCGAUCAGUCACGUUGACAAGUCGGUCCACACAAAUUCAUCCAUACACAGGACAUUGUCAUCAGCUGUCUGCUUACUUCAAAACAGAAUCUCAGACUGACCUUGCCAGAACAAAAAGGAUGAUGUAUGCUGAGAUGAGAACUAAGGGCUCCUAUGUGAAGGUGACCUGCUUAUAAGGUACUGUAGGAUUGCUCAUUGCUUUUGAUUUCCAGUGUUUUUUCUCUCACAAGACUUUAAUUUGACACCAU